GGUGGGCACCUUCACGGGGGUCUGCCCUACUUCCCUGGAGGAGUGUUUAUCCAGCUAAAGAAUUAGUGCAUCUGCAGUAUCAUAGAGGGAGCAGCAGCAAGACUGAGACAAUGGACCCCAGUGAAAUGCCUUCGUGAUGACUAGAGCACACCCAGGCGUGCUAAGCAUCGAAUGAUCAUCACUUAAUAGCAUCAGGAGGAACAAAGCUGGAACAUGUUGGAUGCAGAAUCUCCUAGGAAGGGCUGUUAUCCCAUGCUGAGUUUCUCACAGCUGAUAAUGCUGCGACCAGUGAGUGGCUACGUGACAGGAGGGAGAGGAGAGUGGCUCCUUGCUGGUCUGCAGAGUAAGCCUUUACUUCCCUGAUUUGCUCUGCACAGUAGAAGUAAAACAUCUUAUUUUCAUUAUUACAAGUAACUUUUUUAGUUCUGAACUGAACACUUAGGCAGGAAGGCCUGAAAAACCACCAAAGCUAUUUUUUAUCAGUUUGGAUGGAAAUCACUGUCUA
Passer domesticus (house sparrow) is the source of this 505-nucleotide long non-coding RNA. RefSeq lists it as uncharacterized. The record is from RefSeq and is a predicted model, not a curated record. NCBI's taxonomy places the organism in Eukaryota, Metazoa, Chordata, Aves, Passeriformes, Passeridae. The transcript has 3 exons.